RNAcentral lists this ribosomal RNA (306 nucleotides) under uncultured bacterium. RNAcentral's name for it is "partial 16S ribosomal RNA". It matches the Rfam family "Bacterial small subunit ribosomal RNA", at positions 507 to 807 of the family's 1533-position model. The record is from RNAcentral.
GACAGCAGUAGCCGCGGUAAUACGUAGGUGGCAAGCGUUGUCCGGAAUUAUUGGGCGUAAAGGGCUCGCAGGCGGUUUCUUAAGUCUGAUGUGAAGGCCCCCGGCUCAACCGGGGAGGGUCAUUGGAAACUGGGAAACUUGAGUGCAGAAGAGGAGAGUGGAAUUCCACGUGUAGCGGUGAAAUGCGUAGAGAUGUGGAGGAACACCAGUGGCGAAGGCGACUCUCUGGUCUGUAACUGACGCUGAGGAGCGAAAGCGUGGGGAGCGAACAGGAUUAGAUACCCCAGUAGUCCCUGUCUCUUAUAC